RNAcentral lists this ribosomal RNA (367 nucleotides) under uncultured bacterium. RNAcentral describes it as "partial 16S ribosomal RNA". It matches the Rfam family "Bacterial small subunit ribosomal RNA", at positions 338 to 722 of the family's 1533-position model. The record is from RNAcentral.
CCUACGGGUGGCAGCAGUGGGGAAUAUUGCACAAUGGGGGAAACCCUGAUGCAGCGACGCCGCGUGAGCGAUGAAGUAUUUCGGUAUGUAAAGCUCUAUCAGCAGGGAAGAAAAUGACGGUACCUGACUAAGAAGCCCCGGCUAACUACGUGCCAGCAGCCGCGGUAAUACGUAGGGGGCAAGCGUGAUCCGGAUUUGCUGGGUGGAAAGGGAGCGUAGACGGCUGUGCAAGUCAGAUGUGAAAGCCCUCGGCUCAACCCCGGGAUUGCAUUUGGAACUGGGUGGCUUGAGUGCAGGAAGGGCAGGCGGAAGUCCUGGUGUAGCGGUGAAAUGCGUAGAUAUCAGGAGGAACACCGGUGGCGAAGGC